Molecule: ribosomal RNA, 357 nt
Filed under: uncultured bacterium
Lineage: Bacteria
Description: bacterial SSU rRNA
Rfam family: Bacterial small subunit ribosomal RNA
Source: RNAcentral
UGGGAGCUUGCUCCCUGAGAUUAGCGGCGGACGGGUGAGUAACACGUGGGUAACCUGCCUGUAAGAUUGGGAUAACUCCGGGAAACCGGAGCUAAUACCGGAUAACACUUUGAACCGCAUGGUUUAAAGUUGAAAGAUGGUUUCGGCUAUCACUUACAGAUGGACCCGCGGCGCAUUAGCUAGUUGGUGAGGUAACGGCUCACCAAGGCAACGAUGCGUAGCCGACCUGAGAGGGUGAUCGGCCACAUUGGAACUGAGACACGGUCCAGACUCCUACGGGAGGCAGCAGUGGGGAAUAUUGCACAAUGGGCGAAAGCCUGAUGCAGCAACGCCGCGUGAGUGAUGAAGGCCUUCGGG